RNAcentral lists this unclassified non-coding RNA (301 nucleotides) under plant metagenome. RNAcentral's name for it is "partial contains 5.8S ribosomal RNA, internal transcribed spacer 2, and large subunit ribosomal RNA". The stretch from base 1 to 105 matches the Rfam family "5.8S ribosomal RNA", at positions 50 to 154 of the family's 154-position model. The record is from RNAcentral.
GAAAUGCGAUAAGUAGUGUGAAUUGCAGAAUUCAGUGAAUCAUCGAAUCUUUGAACGCACAUUGCGCCCUAUGGUAUUCCGUAGGGCAUGCCUGCUCGAGCGUCAUUUACACCUUCAAGCCUUGCUUGGUGUUGGGUGACUGUGGCCCCUUUGGGGCCACUCGCCUUAAAGUCAUUGGCGGCCGGUUCGUUGGCUUUGUAGCGCAGCACAAUUGCGUCCUCGAAGCCGCUGGACCAGCUCCCAGAAGCUAAUUUUAAAUGUUUGACCUCGAAUCAGGUAGGGAUACCCGCUGAACUUAAGC